RNAcentral lists this ribosomal RNA (254 nucleotides) under uncultured bacterium. RNAcentral's name for it is "partial 16S ribosomal RNA". It matches the Rfam family "Bacterial small subunit ribosomal RNA", at positions 524 to 776 of the family's 1533-position model. The record is from RNAcentral.
UACGAAGGGGGCUAGCGUUGCUCGGAAUUACUGGGCGUAAAGCGCACGUAGGCGGUCUUUUAAGUCGGGGGUGAAAUCCUGGAGCUCAACUCCAGAACUGCCUUCGAUACUGGAAGACUUGAGUCCGGGAGAGGUGAGUGGAACUGCGAGUGUAGAGGUGAAAUUCGUAGAUAUUCGCAAGAACACCAGUGGCGAAGGCGGCUCACUGGCCCGGUACUGACGCUGAGGUGCGAAAAGCGUGGGGAGCAAACAGG